RNAcentral lists this long non-coding RNA (756 nucleotides) under Rattus norvegicus (Norway rat). Its description in RNAcentral is "long non-coding RNA NONRATT027277". Lineage: Eukaryota; Metazoa; Chordata; Mammalia; Rodentia; Muridae. The record is from RNAcentral.
CGCAUCCAAAUUUAAAAUUUUAAAAUAAAAAAGAGCUUGAUUUAAAUAAUUGUGUGGUGUACAGGGAUGUAACCCCCCCUCUUUAUUUUAUAACAAUAUUGUUUUAAAGCUCCACAAUACCUGAUUCACAAUACCUUGUGCUUAAGGAUUAUAAGGAAGCCCAGUAAUAUGGGUAAUAUUAAAUUUUCAACAAAACGUCUCAAAUGAUUGAUUUCAGUAGCCAGUUCCAUUAUCUGUUAUAAUCUGAUUUGAAACACCAAACAUAGAAAAACAACGUAGGCAAUGACUCAUUGCAUUUUUAGUUGCUUCUCCUGUUAAAGCAGUUGUAACUAGAAAGCCUGAAGUGGUGUCAAUGGUCACAUGUAUGUAUUUUAAUUUUCCAAAAUCAGAAAUAGGAGUAACAUCCACUUGCCACAAUUGAUUAGGUAUAAGUCCUGGAGAUUAACACCAUUAUAUGGUACAGGAAGAAGUUGAGGACAUUGAAGACAAGUCUUUACAACUUGACGUGCACAUUCCCUAGAAACACCAAAUUGUUGUCUUAAGCUAUUAAUAUUUUGAUGUUGUAAAAAAUGAGAUUGUAUGGCUAAUUGUUCCUAUGUUCUGCUGUGGCAUUGCCCUCUGCACUAAGGGGUCCAGGUAAUCCAGUAUGAGCUCUUAAAUAUCCUAUAAAGCAAGCAACAGUACCUUCUCUUAAAUUAAGUUGUAUUUGCAUAAAUAAUUGCAAAAUUUGAAAAUUAGCAGUCUAAAAAAAAGGAA